RNAcentral lists this ribosomal RNA (253 nucleotides) under uncultured bacterium. RNAcentral describes it as "partial 16S ribosomal RNA". It matches the Rfam family "Bacterial small subunit ribosomal RNA", at positions 524 to 776 of the family's 1533-position model. The record is from RNAcentral.
UACGUAGGUGGCAAGCGUUGUCCGGAAUUAUUGGGCGUAAAGCGCGCGCAGGCGGUCCUUUAAGUCUGAUGUGAAAUCCCACGGCUCAACCGUGGAAGGUCAUUGGAAACUGGGGAACUUGAGUACAGAAGAGGAAAGCGGAAUUCCACGUGUAGCGGUGAAAUGCGUAGAGAUGUGGAGGAACACCAGUGGCGAAGGCGGCUUUCUGGUCUGUAACUGACGCUGAGGCGCGAAAGCGUGGGGAGCAAACAGG